This 99-nucleotide non-coding RNA is filed under the name Streptococcus urinalis. RNAcentral describes it as "Azaaromatic sequence". It matches the Rfam family "azaaromatic riboswitch aptamer (yjdF RNA)". RNAcentral also lists the same sequence under 1 other name. The record is from RNAcentral. Lineage: Bacteria; Bacillati; Bacillota; Bacilli; Lactobacillales; Streptococcaceae.
UAUAUAUUGCAUAAAAACACUUUGCAGUUGGUAGUCUGCAAGCAUUCAAAAAAUGUCAGUAACCUUCCCUCCAGGUCGUCCAUUGCAAAAUUUUAUUUU